Ribosomal RNA from Lepisosteus oculatus (spotted gar), 118 nucleotides. Lineage: Eukaryota; Metazoa; Chordata; Actinopteri; Semionotiformes; Lepisosteidae. The record is from Ensembl.
GCCAGCAGCCAUAUCACCCUGCAACUCCCAGCUGGCAGCCCACUGAAGCUCAGCAGGUGUGAGCCUGGUCAGUACCUGGAUGGGAGACCUCCUGGGAAAGCUAAGGUUGCUGCUGGAA